Molecule: ribosomal RNA, 97 nt
Filed under: Lepidolejeunea involuta
Lineage: Eukaryota; Viridiplantae; Streptophyta; Jungermanniopsida; Porellales; Lejeuneaceae
Description: partial 18S ribosomal RNA
Rfam family: Eukaryotic small subunit ribosomal RNA
Source: RNAcentral
GCCGGUGUUGUUGUGAGAAGUUCAUUAAACCUUAUCAUUUAGAGGAAGGAGAAGUCGUAACAAGGUUUCCGUAGGUGAACCUGCGGAAGGAUCAUUG